Molecule: long non-coding RNA, 914 nt
Organism: Thrips palmi
Lineage: Eukaryota; Metazoa; Arthropoda; Insecta; Thysanoptera; Thripidae
Exons: 3
Source: RefSeq, a predicted model, not a curated record
AGGUUCGACGAAUGUAAUCCACUUUGAAGAUCGUCCACGGGAUAUAAUGUUUCUUUGAAGGUUAAACUUAAAGAGUCGAGGCAGCCUAUACAAUCUUUCAUGGCCCAUUUUGUCAGUAGUCACUGGCCUAGUCUAGAAAAGAAUAUCAGAGACAAACGAAACCGUGCCACAUCAAACUGAACUUCUGUGCAAGAACCGAACGAUGAACUAUUGAAAAUGAAAUGGAUGGUACACAAAAAAGACCUUGAACGUCUUGAAAUCAUGUAAACUAGAUACUAGAUCUAAGCAGAACGAAAAGGUAAACAAAACAGGUUGCUGCUACAGCACCAAUUUCUCAUCUUUCUGCACUCUGAAAGUAUGAGAAACUUACUGCUGGUCAACAGCAAUAACAGAGGCUAUAACCUGCAACUCGACCAACGUGUGCGUGCUGUCGAGAGAAUUUGGCGUCUUGUCGAAUCAAAUCAACAAUUUGGAUGUAUUCGUGCUCACUCCAGAUUUUAAAGGUGCAGCACGUUAUCAGGAUUAAGGAAGGAGUAGCCGCAGACCUACUUCAUGAAAGUUGUUUUGAAGUCGUCAACCUGCUUCUAUUUCAUCUGAUGUUUCUUGCAAGCAUUACCCGUUUCCAGUAUCAUUUCGGACCAUCUUAAUUCAGCAAACUUGUUAGUCACAUUCAUGGUAUCUUGAGUUUAAAGCAACAGAGACUCCUGAGGUUUUGAGAAGUGUUUGGGAAAACAUCAUACCUUUCAACAUCUGAUGCAUUGGGAGUCAGUUUCUUGAGAAGUAUGGCAUUAUAAUUUCCCAUCAGUUCCAGCCACAUAUUUUUCAGAGGUAAAUGAAUCAUGAAAUGUUAGUUGUAAACAUAGAAAGUGACAGCAGACUCAAAUGUUAGUAAAAACAAGGAAUUAUCUGGGUAA